Molecule: ribosomal RNA, 669 nt
Filed under: Bacillus pumilus
Lineage: Bacteria; Bacillati; Bacillota; Bacilli; Caryophanales; Bacillaceae
Description: bacterial SSU rRNA
Rfam family: Bacterial small subunit ribosomal RNA
Source: RNAcentral
GCGUAAAGGGCUCGCAGGCGGUUUCUUAAGUCUGAUGUGAAAGCCCCCGGCUCAACCGGGGAGGGUCAUUGGAAACUGGGAAACUUGAGUGCAGAAGAGGAGAGUGGAAUUCCACGUGUAGCGGUGAAAUGCGUAGAGAUGUGGAGGAACACCAGUGGCGAAGGCGACUCUCUGGUCUGUAACUGACGCUGAGGAGCGAAAGCGUGGGGAGCGAACAGGAUUAGAUACCCUGGUAGUCCACGCCGUAAACGAUGAGUGCUAAGUGUUAGGGGGUUUCCGCCCCUUAGUGCUGCAGCUAACGCAUUAAGCACUCCGCCUGGGGAGUACGGUCGCAAGACUGAAACUCAAAGGAAUUGACGGGGGCCCGCACAAGCGGUGGAGCAUGUGGUUUAAUUCGAAGCAACGCGAAGAACCUUACCAGGUCUUGACAUCCUCUGACAACCCUAGAGAUAGGGCUUUCCCUUCGGGGACAGAGUGACAGGUGGUGCAUGGUUGUCGUCAGCUCGUGUCGUGAGAUGUUGGGUUAAGUCCCGCAACGAGCGCAACCCUUGAUCUUAGUUGCCAGCAUUCAGUUGGGCACUCUAAGGUGACUGCCGGUGACAAACCGGAGGAAGGUGGGGAUGACGUCAAAUCAUCAUGCCCCUUAUGACCUGGGCUACACACGUGCUA